RNAcentral lists this transfer RNA (72 nucleotides) under Methanomicrobiaceae archaeon. RNAcentral's name for it is "tRNA-Ile". It matches the Rfam family "tRNA". Rfam says of the family: Transfer RNA (tRNA) molecules are approximately 80 nucleotides in length. Their secondary structure includes four short double-helical elements and three loops (D, anti-codon, and T loops). Further hydrogen bonds mediate the characteristic L-shaped molecular structure. tRNAs have two regions of fundamental functional importance: the anti-codon, which is responsible for specific mRNA codon recognition, and the 3' end, to which the tRNAs corresponding amino acid is attached (by aminoacyl-tRNA synthetases). tRNAs cope with the degeneracy of the genetic code in two manners: having more than one tRNA (with a specific anti-codon) for a particular amino acid; and 'wobble' base-pairing, i.e. permitting non-standard base-pairing at the 3rd anti-codon position. The record is from RNAcentral. Lineage: Archaea; Methanobacteriati; Methanobacteriota; Methanomicrobia; Methanomicrobiales; Methanomicrobiaceae.
GGGCCCGUAGCUUAGCGGUGGAGCGCCCGGCUCAUAACCGGGUGGCCGAGAGUUCGAAUCUCUCCGGGCCCA